UCUCUCUAAGCAUAACUCUCUAGUGCUCGUACCGCAAACCGACACUGGUAGACGGGUAGAAUAUACCAAGGCGAACGGGAGAACCCUCGUUAAGGAAUUAGGCAACAUGACCCCGUAACUUCGGGAGAAGGGGUACCCUCCUUAGUGUUAAAGCUUCGGAGGGUCGCAGUGAAAUGGCUCUGGUGACUGGUUAACAAAACCACAGGUCUCUGCUAAGCCGUAAGGCGAUGUAUAGGGGCUGACGCGUGCCCAGUGCCGGAAGGUUAAAGGGAGAGGUUAGCGCAAGCGAAGCUUUGAACUGAAGCCCCGGUGAACGGCGGCCGUAACUAUAACGGUCCUAAGGUAGCGAAAUUCCUUGUCGGGUAAGUUCCGACCCGCACGAAUCGCGUAACAAUUAGAGCACUGUCUCGACGAGGGACCCGGUGAAAUUGAAAUGGCUGUGAAGAUGCGGCCUACCCGCAGCAGGACAAAAAGACCCCGUGGAGCUUUACUGCAACUUGGCAUUGUAUUUGGAUAUAAUCUGUGUAGAAUAGGUGGGAGGCUUUGAAGCUGGCGCGCUAGCGUCGGUGGAGCCUCCAGUGAAAUACCACCCUGAUUAUGUUUAGAUCCUAACCCCAUUCCGUAAUCCGGAUGGGGGACCGUGCCAGGUGGGCAGUUUGACUGGGGCGGUCGCCUCCUAAAAGGUAACGGAGGCGCCCAAAGGUUCCCUCAGGUGGAAUGGAAACCCACCAUAGAGUGUAAAGGCAUAAGGGAGCUUGACUGUAAGGCCAACGCGCCGAACAGAGACGAAAGUCGGGCUUAGUGAUCCCACAAUACCGAGUGGAAGGGUUGUGGCUUACCGGAUAAAAGCUACCCCGGGGAUAACAGGCUGGUGAGAUCCAAGAGCUCACAUCGACGAUCUCGCUCGGCACCUCGAUGUCGGCUCAUCGCAUCCUGGGGCUGGACAAGGUCCCAAGGGUCGGGCUGUUCGCCCGUUAAAGCGGUACGCGAGCUGGGUUCAGACCGUCGUGAGACAGGUCGGUCUCUAUCCGCUGUGGGCGUAAGGGAUUUGAAGCGAGCUGCUCCUAGUACGAGAGGACCGGGGUGGACAGACCUCUAGUGUGCCAGUUGUUCCGCCAGGAGCAUCGCUGGGUAGCCAUGUCUGGCAAAGAUAACCGCUGAAAGCAUCUAAGUGGGAAACUUGCCCUAAGAUUAGAUCCCUGUGACCCGUAAGGGUGUAAGACCGCAGGUAGACUACCUGCUUAAUAGGCAGCAUGUGUAAGCACAGUAAUGUGUUAAGCUAAGCUGUACUAAUGGUCGAGGGCUUCCUU
RNAcentral lists this ribosomal RNA (1310 nucleotides) under metagenome. RNAcentral's name for it is "bacterial LSU rRNA". It matches the Rfam family "Bacterial large subunit ribosomal RNA", at positions 1616 to 2925 of the family's 2925-position model. The record is from RNAcentral.